This is a non-coding RNA of Odocoileus virginianus texanus, 1644 nucleotides long. NCBI's taxonomy places the organism in Eukaryota, Metazoa, Chordata, Mammalia, Artiodactyla, Cervidae. The record is from RefSeq and is a predicted model, not a curated record.
AGCAGGAGGAGGACUGCAGCAAGCUGAGAUCUGUGUCCGUGGACCUGAAUGUCGAUCCCUCGCUUCAGAUUGACAUGCCUGAGCGCUCAGCGAGAGAGAGAAAGUCAAAUUUACAGCGCACACCGGGACCACACUGCCCACGUUUCAGAGCCCAGAGUUUUCUGUCACAAGGCAACUUGAAGACUUUGUGUGGCUACAUGACACUCUUAUUGAAACUACAGAAUAUGCUAGGCUUAUUAUCUCGCCAGCGCCGACCAAGCCCGACUUUGAUGGCCCUUGAGAGAAUAUGCAGAAGCUGGGAGACAGUGAAGGGUCAAUGACGAAAGAAGGAUUUGCCAAGAUGAAGCAAGAGCUAGAAGCUGAGUACCUUGCUGUCUUCAAGAUACUGUGUCUUCGCACGAAGUCUUUCUUCAACGGCUCUCCUUUCACCCUGUUCUCAGUAAAGACCGCAACUUCCGUGUUUUUUUGGAAUAUGAUCAAGAUCUAAGUGUGAGGCGGAAAAAUACCAAAGAGAUGUUUGGUGGCUUUUUUAAAAGUGUGGUGAAAAGUGCUGAUGAAGUUCUUUUUUCAGGAGUUAAGGAGGUAGAUGACUUUUUUGAGCAAGAGAAGACUUUCCUCAUGAACUGUUACAACAGGAUCAAGGAUUCCUGUGCAGAGGCUGACAGGAUUACCAGAUCUCAUAAAAGUGUCCCAGAUGAUGAUAUCCACACCACAGCCUGCUUGCAUAGCCUGGCUUUAAAGGAGCAUACAGUCACCAAGAAGUACCUGUUGAAGGUGGCUGAGCUGUUUGAAAACUUAGGAAAGUGGAGAGUCGACUCUCCUGAUGAAGACUUGAAGCUCCUACAAUACUACAUGCUCUACACAGAGGCUGCCAAGGAUCUCUCAUAGAGACGCACCAAAGCCCGCAUCAACUGUGAGAACUCAAACACAGCGCUGGAUGAGGCCCGGUUAAAGAGCAAAGAUGUCAAGCUGGCCGAGGCACACCAGCAGGAAUGCUGCUGGAAGUUUAUAACAGCUCUCUGAAUCUGCAAAAGAAGAGCUAAUCAAUUUCAAACGGAAGAGAGUGGCAGCGUUUCAGAAGAAUCUGUUUGAAACGUCUGAACUGGAAAUAAAGCCUGUCCCUCCUGCAAAGCUGCGUCCACCUGUAAGAACAACUGAGUGAAGGACUGGAUGUGAAGAAAGCCAGCAUCACUUGCACUCAAAUCAUUACCACAGAAGAUUUGAUUUAUCUUGACUUCAGUUUAAAAUUAUGUGCAUACGUAUUUUGAUUUCUAAAGAUCUUAACACUUAACCAUGUUGGUUUAAAAAUAGUUCUAUUGCAUGCUCCUUGGACAUAACUAAUCUUGAUGCAGUUAAUACCUCAGUGGGUAGUAUCUGAAGUACUGUGUUCUCCUCUAAUUUGUAGUGAUGAAGAAAGGGUGCAGAAUCACGUGCCUUCUGGAGCGAGUGUAAUCAGCAGGGGACCCGCACAUGUCAUCUCAAGUUUCACGUGGCCGGGUCCCUGUAAUUUAGGGUAGGUGCCUGUUAAUAGCAGAUGAGUCAGCUACUCGUUACAGGUAACAGACAUUCCAUCCCUUUAUCAAGUGAUUUUCCCCUUUCUUACUCUCACUGAUUGAUAGUCACCUUCAGUUGUUUGUACUAUAA